ACGAUUGACCUCGGAUCAGGUAGGGAUACCCGCUGAACUUAAGCAUAUCAAUAGCGGAGGA
This 61-nucleotide ribosomal RNA is filed under the name Nephroma occultum. Its description in RNAcentral is "partial 26S ribosomal RNA". The record is from RNAcentral. Lineage: Eukaryota; Fungi; Ascomycota; Lecanoromycetes; Peltigerales; Nephromataceae.